RNAcentral lists this transfer RNA (74 nucleotides) under Candidatus Omnitrophota bacterium. Its description in RNAcentral is "Candidatus Omnitrophica bacterium tRNA-Met". It matches the Rfam family "tRNA". From Rfam's summary of the family: Transfer RNA (tRNA) molecules are approximately 80 nucleotides in length. Their secondary structure includes four short double-helical elements and three loops (D, anti-codon, and T loops). Further hydrogen bonds mediate the characteristic L-shaped molecular structure. tRNAs have two regions of fundamental functional importance: the anti-codon, which is responsible for specific mRNA codon recognition, and the 3' end, to which the tRNAs corresponding amino acid is attached (by aminoacyl-tRNA synthetases). tRNAs cope with the degeneracy of the genetic code in two manners: having more than one tRNA (with a specific anti-codon) for a particular amino acid; and 'wobble' base-pairing, i.e. permitting non-standard base-pairing at the 3rd anti-codon position. Lineage: Bacteria; Pseudomonadati; Candidatus Omnitrophota. The record is from RNAcentral.
GGCGGUGUAGCUCAGCUGGCAAGAGCAAACGGCUCAUACCCGUUAUGUCGGUGGUUCAAGUCCACUCACCGCUA